UAGAGGUCCGCCUGCCUGUGACUACAAGUUUAACGGCCGCGGUAUUUUGACCGUGCAAAGGUAGCGCAAUCACUUGUCUUUUAAAUGGAGACCUGUAUGAAUGGCAUAACGAGGGCUUAACUGUCUCCUCUUUCAAGUCAAUGAAAUUAAUCUCUCCGUGCAGAAGCGGAGAUAAUACCACAAGACGAGAAGACCCUAUGAAGCUUUAGACAAAAAAGUAGACCAUGCCAAGCAUUCUCAGCCAAGAGACAAGAGCUUAACAACCCCCUACCCUAUUGUCUUCGGUUGGGGCGACCACGGGGUAAAACAAAACCCCCAUGCAGAACGGGACAAUCUGUCCUAGAGCUAAGAGCCCCAGCUCCAAGCAACAGAACCUCUCUGACUAACCAGAUCCGGCCUAGCCGAUCUACGGACCAAGUUACUCUAGGGAUAACAGCGCAAUCCCCUUCUAGAGUCCCUAUCGACAAGGGGGUUUACGACCUCGAUGUUGGAUCAGGACAUCCUAUUGGUGCAGCCGCUAUUAAGGGUUCGUUUGUUCAACGAUUAAAGUCCUACGUGAUCUG
RNAcentral lists this ribosomal RNA (563 nucleotides) under Cirrhilabrus exquisitus (exquisite wrasse). RNAcentral's name for it is "partial 16S ribosomal RNA". It matches the Rfam family "Bacterial large subunit ribosomal RNA", at positions 1846 to 2607 of the family's 2925-position model. The record is from RNAcentral. Lineage: Eukaryota; Metazoa; Chordata; Actinopteri; Labriformes; Labridae.